AGUGAACGCUGGCGGUAGGCCUAACACAUGCAAGUCGAACGGCAGCACAGUAAGAGCUUGCUCUUACGGGUGGCGAGUGGCGGACGGGUGAGGAAUACAUCGGAAUCUACUUUUUCGUGGGGGAUAACGUAGGGAAACUUACGCUAAUACCGCAUACGACCUACGGGUGAAAGCAGGGGAUCUUCGGACCUUGCGCGAUUGAAUGAGCCGAUGUCGGAUUAGCUAGUUGGCGGGGUAAAGGCCCACCAAGGCGACGAUCCGUAGCUGGUCUGAGAGGAUGAUCAGCCACACUGGAACUGAGACACGGUCCAGACUCCUACGGGAGGCAGCAGUGGGGAAUAUUGGACAAUGGGCGCAAGCCUGAUCCAGCCGUACCGCGUGGGUGAAGAAGGCCUUCGGGUUGUAAAGCCCUUUUGUUGGGAAGGAAAAGCAGCAGGUUAAUACCCCGCUGUCCUGACGGUACCCAAAGAAUAAGCACCGGCUAACUUCGUG
RNAcentral lists this ribosomal RNA (492 nucleotides) under uncultured bacterium. Its description in RNAcentral is "partial 16S ribosomal RNA". It matches the Rfam family "Bacterial small subunit ribosomal RNA", at positions 29 to 507 of the family's 1533-position model. The record is from RNAcentral.